AGGGGUAUAGCUCAGUGGUAGAGCACAUGCAUUGCAUGUAUGUGGCCUUGGGUUUGAUUCCCAGCACUA
This 69-nucleotide transfer RNA is filed under the name Fukomys damarensis (Damara mole-rat). It matches the Rfam family "tRNA". From Rfam's summary of the family: Transfer RNA (tRNA) molecules are approximately 80 nucleotides in length. Their secondary structure includes four short double-helical elements and three loops (D, anti-codon, and T loops). The record is from Rfam by way of RNAcentral. Lineage: Eukaryota; Metazoa; Chordata; Mammalia; Rodentia; Bathyergidae.